This 28-nucleotide small RNA is filed under the name Bombyx mori (domestic silkworm). RNAcentral's name for it is "ovarian small RNA-20795". The record is from RNAcentral. Lineage: Eukaryota; Metazoa; Arthropoda; Insecta; Lepidoptera; Bombycidae.
UACCGUUGUUGGCCAUUGAUUACCGGUA